This 258-nucleotide unclassified non-coding RNA is filed under the name Curvularia trifolii. Its description in RNAcentral is "partial contains 5.8S ribosomal RNA, internal transcribed spacer 2, and large subunit ribosomal RNA". The record is from RNAcentral. Lineage: Eukaryota; Fungi; Ascomycota; Dothideomycetes; Pleosporales; Pleosporaceae.
CGCACAUUGCGCCCUUUGGUAUUCCAAAGGGCAUGCCUGUUCGAGCGUCAUUUGUACCCUCAAGCUUUGCUUGGUGUUGGGCGUCUUGUCUUUUGGCUCUUUGCCCAAAGACUCGCCUUAAAACGAUUGGCAGCCGGCCUACUGGUUUCGCAGCGCAGCACAUUUUUGCGCUUGCAAUCAGCAAAAGAGGACGGCACUCCAUCAAGACUCCUUCUCACGUUUGACCUCGGAUCAGGUAGGGAUACCCGCUGAACUUAA